RNAcentral lists this ribosomal RNA (238 nucleotides) under uncultured bacterium. RNAcentral's name for it is "partial 16S ribosomal RNA". The record is from RNAcentral.
CUGCUGCCUUCCGUAGGAGUCUGGGCCGUGUCUCAGUCCCAAUGUGGCCGUCCGCCCUCUCAGUCCGGCUACUGAUCGUCGCCUUGGUGGGCCGUUACCUCACCAACUAGCUAAUCAGACGCGAGGCCAUCUUCCAGCGAUAAAUCUUUGACAUCAGUGCCAUGCGACACCAAUGCGUCAUGCGGUAUUAGCAGUCGUUUCCAACUGUUGUCCCCCUCUGGAAGGCAGGUUCCUCACG